ACAUUGGAACUGAGAAACGGUCCAAACUCCUACGGGAGGCAGCAGUGGGGAAUAUUGCACAAUGGGGGAAACCCUGAUGCAGCGACGCCGCGUGAGCGAUGAAGGCUUUCGAGUCGUAAAGCUCUGUCCUAUGGGAAGAUAAUGACGGUACCAUAGAAGAAAGCCCCGGCUAAUUACGUGCCAGCAGCCGCGGUAAUACGUAAGGGGCGAGCGUUGUCCGGAAUUAUUGGGCGUAAAGAGUGCGUAGGCGGCAAAUUAAGUCAGAUGUGAAAACUAAGGGCUCAACCCAUAGAUUGCAUCUGAAACUGAUAUGCUUGAGUCAAGGAGAGGAAAGUGGAAUUCCUAGUGUAGCGGUGGAAUGCGUAGAUAUUAGGAGGAAUACCGGUGGCGAAGGCGACUUUCUGGACUUGAACUGACGCUGAGGCACGAAAGCGUGGGGAGCAAACAGGAUUAGAUACCCUGGUAGUCCACGCCGUAAACGAUGAGUGCUAGGUGUCUGCUCAUAAGAGUAGGUGCCGUACGUUAACACAUUAAGCACUCCGCCUGGGGAGUACGUACGCAAGUAUGAAACUCAAAGGAAUUGACGGGGACCCGCACAAGCAGCGGAGCAUGUGGUUUAAUUCGAGGCUACGCGAAGAACCUUACCAGGACUUGACAUACCAAGGAAAGUUUUUAGAGAUAAAAACCCUAGAUUUAUCUACCUUGGAUACAGGUGGUGCAUGGUUGUCGUCAGCUCGUGUCGUGAGAUGUUGGGUUAAGUCCCGCAACGAGCGCAACCCUUACAUUUAGUUACUAACAGGUAGUGCUGAGGACUCUAGAUGGACUGCCGAUGACAAAUCGGAGGAAGGUGGGGAUGACGUCAAAUCAUCAUGCCCUUUAUGUCCUGGGCUACACACGUGCUACAAUGGUCGGUACAAAGAGAAGCUAAAUAGCGAUAUCAAGCAAACCUCAAAAAACCGAUCCCAGUUCGGAUUGAUCUCUGCAACUCGAGAUCAUGAAGCCGGAGUUGCUAGUAAUCGCAGAUCAGAAUGCUGCGGUGAAUGCGUUCCCGGGUCUUGUACACACCGCCCGUCACACCAUGGGAGUAGGCAAUACCCGAAGCCUGUGAGCUAACCAUUUGGAGGCAGCAGUCGAAGGUAGGGUCAAUGACUGGGGUGAAGUCGUAACAAGGUAGCCGUAUCGGAAGGUGCGGCUG
This 1195-nucleotide ribosomal RNA is filed under the name human vaginal metagenome. Its description in RNAcentral is "bacterial SSU rRNA". It matches the Rfam family "Bacterial small subunit ribosomal RNA", at positions 310 to 1520 of the family's 1533-position model. The record is from RNAcentral.